GGGGGCGACUGGAAUCGAUUGUGUAGGUGGCCCCGUGGUUGCGUGCCCAGGUCCUCGGGUUCCUGGUAAAACACUCGGGAAAGUCUCAACUGCGAACAACAACUUCGCGCUUGCUGCGUAACUUCUAGUUACGUCCAGCAGUGCCCAUGAGGAAGCCCUCCCGGGGCGGCUUCACGGGUAUCGAAAAUCCGGGAUAGUCCAGCGUCGCGCCUUCCGGCGCCGGGCGAAACUCUAGAGGGCUCAUCCAGCGUUCGGCGGCCCACUGGCCAGGCGCUGGAGACAUCAAUCGGUGGGAUACGCACGUAGACGCUGCGGAAGAUCUUAUGCAAGACGGGAGUUCGAAUCUCCCCGCCUCCACUG
This 360-nucleotide transfer-messenger RNA is filed under the name Gemmatimonadaceae. RNAcentral describes it as "Fen-1231 sp016194585 Standard tmRNA". It matches the Rfam family "transfer-messenger RNA". Rfam says of the family: Bacterial tmRNA, also known as 10Sa RNA or SsrA, is named for its dual tRNA and mRNA-like properties. Lineage: Bacteria; Pseudomonadati; Gemmatimonadota; Gemmatimonadia; Gemmatimonadales. RNAcentral also lists the same sequence under 1 other name. The record is from RNAcentral.